Molecule: ribosomal RNA, 881 nt
Filed under: uncultured Alphaproteobacteria bacterium
Lineage: Bacteria; Pseudomonadati; Pseudomonadota; Alphaproteobacteria
Description: bacterial SSU rRNA
Rfam family: Bacterial small subunit ribosomal RNA
Source: RNAcentral
CGCGGGAUUAGAGUUUGAUCCUGGCUCAGAGCGAACGCUGGCGGCAGGCCUAACACAUGCAAGUCGAGCGCCCGUAGCAAUACGGGAGCGGCAGACGGGAUAGUAACACGUGGGAACGCGCCCUUCGGUUCGGAAUAACUCAGGGAAACUUGAGCUAAUACCGGAUACACCCUUACGGGGAAAGAUUUAUUGCCGAAGGAACGGCCCGCGUCCGAUUAGCUAGUUGGUGAGGUAAUGGCUCACCAAGGCGACGAUCGGUAGCUGGUCUGAGAGGAUGACCAGCAUCACUGGGACUGAGACACGGCCCAGACUCCUACGGGAGGCAGCAGUGGGGAAUAUUGGACAAUGGGCGCAAGCCUGAUCCAGCCAUGCCGCGUGGAUGAUGAAGGCCUUAGGGUUGUAAAGUCCUUUUAACAGGGAAGAUAAUGACGGUACCCGUAGAAUAAGCCCCGGCUAACUUCGUGCCAGCAGCCGCGGUAAUACGAAGGGGGCUAGCGUUGCUCGGAAUUACUGGGCGUAAAGCGCACGUAGGCGGCUCUUUAAGUCGGUGGUGAAAUCCUGGAGCUCAACUCCAGAACUGCCUUCGAUACUGAGGAGCUCGAGUCCGGGAGAGGUGAGUGGAACUGCGAGUGUAGAGGUGAAAUUCGUAGAUAUUCGCAAGAACACCAGUGGCGAACGCGGCUCACUGGCCCGGUACUGACGCUGAGGUGCGAAAGCGUGUGGAGCAAACAGGAUUAGAUACCCUGGUAGUCCACGCCGUAAACGAUGAAUGCUAGCCGUUGGCGAGCUUGCUCGUCAGUGGCGCAGCUAACGCUUUAAGCAUUCCGCCUGGGGAGUACGGUCGCAAGAUUAGAACUCAAAGGAAUUGACGGGGGCCCGCA